This 253-nucleotide ribosomal RNA is filed under the name uncultured bacterium. RNAcentral describes it as "partial 16S ribosomal RNA". It matches the Rfam family "Bacterial small subunit ribosomal RNA", at positions 524 to 776 of the family's 1533-position model. The record is from RNAcentral.
UACAGAGGGGGCAAGCGUUAUUCGGAAUUAUUGGGCGUAAAGGGCGCGUAGGCGGCCUGGCAAGUGGAAGGUGAAAUCCCUCGGCUUAACCGGGGAACUGCCCUCCAAACUGCUUGGCUUGAGUCCGGGAGAGGUGAGUGGAAUUCCCAGUGUAGCGGUGAAAUGCGCAGAUAUCGGGAGGAACACCGGUGGCGAAGGCGGUUCUCUGGACCUUACCCGACACUGAGGAGCGAAAGCGUGGGGAGCGAACAGG